GACGAACGCGGCGGCGUGCCUAAUACAUGCAAGUAGAACGCUGAAGGAGGAGCUUGCUUCUCUGGAUGAGUUGCGAACGGGUGAGUAACGCGUAGGUAACCUGCCUGGUAGCGGGGGAUAACUAUUGGAAACGAUAGCUAAUACCGCAUAAGAGUAGAUGUUGCAUGACAUAUGCUUAAAAGGUGCAAUUGCAUCACUACCAGAUGGACCUGCGUUGUAUUAGCUAGUUGGUGAGGUAACGGCUCACCAAGGCAACGAUACAUAGCCGACCUGAGAGGGUGAUCGGCCACACUGGGACUGAGACACGGCCCAGACUCCUACGGGAGGCAGCAGUAGGGAAUCUUCGGCAAUGGACGGAAGUCUGACCGAGCAACGCCGCGUGAGUGAAGAAGGUUUUCGGAUCGUAAAGCUCUGUUGUAAGAGAAGAAACGAGUGUGAGAGUGGAAA
This 447-nucleotide ribosomal RNA is filed under the name Streptococcus mitis. RNAcentral's name for it is "bacterial SSU rRNA". It matches the Rfam family "Bacterial small subunit ribosomal RNA", at positions 28 to 465 of the family's 1533-position model. The record is from RNAcentral. Lineage: Bacteria; Bacillati; Bacillota; Bacilli; Lactobacillales; Streptococcaceae.